Long non-coding RNA from Stegodyphus dumicola, 236 nucleotides. The record is from RefSeq and is a predicted model, not a curated record. Lineage: Eukaryota; Metazoa; Arthropoda; Arachnida; Araneae; Eresidae.
AAAAUAAUAAUUGGUUGGACGAAGAAACUAAGAAAGGAGCUCAAGAAAAGUUUUCUGCUGCGACAUUCCAGAUUGGAGUACCGAAAGUGUUUUUGAAUAAUACUUACGUCUUAGAUGAUGUAUAUCGAAACUUGUUGUUGAACAACGAAAAUUAUUUUGACAACGCAUUGGAAGCUCACAGAUGGUCAACCCAAUUCUCCUUCUCUCGGCUUCGUAUACCUUUCGUAAAAGGACAG